This 290-nucleotide ribosomal RNA is filed under the name uncultured bacterium. RNAcentral's name for it is "partial 16S ribosomal RNA". It matches the Rfam family "Bacterial small subunit ribosomal RNA", at positions 506 to 796 of the family's 1533-position model. The record is from RNAcentral.
UGCCAGCAGCCGCGGUAAUACGUAGGGGGCAAGCGUUAUCCGGAAUCACUGGGCGUAAAGGGUGCGUAGGCGGUUUUUCAAGUCAGAAGUGAAAGGCUAUGGCUCAACCAUAGUAAGCUUUUGAAACUGUAAAACUUGAGUGCAGGAGAGGAAAGUGGAAUUCCUAGUGUAGAGGUGAAAUUCGUAGAUAUUAGGAGGAACACCAGUGGCGAAGGCGACUUUCUGGACUGUAACUGACGCUGAGGCACGAAAGCGUGGGGAGCGAACAGGAUUAGAAACCCCAGUAGUCC